This 209-nucleotide long non-coding RNA is filed under the name Sorghum bicolor (sorghum). RNAcentral describes it as "long non-coding RNA (SBIC_LNC016103)". Lineage: Eukaryota; Viridiplantae; Streptophyta; Magnoliopsida; Poales; Poaceae. The record is from RNAcentral.
AAAACAACAUUGUAGCUCAGUUGGCAAGGACACAACUUAAAGUGUUGGUGUCCCAGGUUCAAACCCUCAUAUUGCACCAUUUUUUAUUUUUCUGACUUAUUUCAAAUUGGGCCAGCUGGUUAUAAAUUGGGCCAGCGUACAGCUAGGCUGAAGUUCUUCCAAUAUACCAUUUUCGAAUUGGUCCAGUUGGUUAUAAAUUGGGCCACCUC